Small nucleolar RNA from Sorex araneus (European shrew), 130 nucleotides. RefSeq annotates it as U8 small nucleolar RNA. The transcript has a single exon. Lineage: Eukaryota; Metazoa; Chordata; Mammalia; Eulipotyphla; Soricidae. The record is from RefSeq and is a predicted model, not a curated record.
UCAUCAAGUAGGAUUAUCCUUACCUGUUUCUUUAUUCAGAAGGCAGAUAGAACAUGAUGAUUGAAGUCAAAUGUUUUGGUUAAUGUGUCUAUGUGAUUAGGGCUCGUAACCCUAAUCACUUUUAUCUGAU